This 253-nucleotide ribosomal RNA is filed under the name uncultured bacterium. Its description in RNAcentral is "partial 16S ribosomal RNA". It matches the Rfam family "Bacterial small subunit ribosomal RNA", at positions 524 to 776 of the family's 1533-position model. The record is from RNAcentral.
GACGAAGGAUGCAAGCGUUAUCCGGAUUCAUUGGGUUUAAAGGGAGCGUAGGUGGCCCGAUAAGUCAGUGGUGAAAUCUCUCGGCUUAACUGAGAAAUUGCCAUUGAUACUGUUGGGCUUGAGUGUAGUUGCCGUUGGCGGAAUAUGACAUGUAGUGGUGAAAUACAUAGAGAUGUCAUAGAACACCGAUUGCGAAGGCAGCUAACGAAACUAUAACUGACACUGAGGCUCGAAAGUGCGGGGAUCAAACAGG